This 148-nucleotide small RNA is filed under the name Pongo abelii (Sumatran orangutan). RNAcentral's name for it is "Metazoan signal recognition particle RNA (ENSPPYG00000039667.1)". The record is from Rfam by way of RNAcentral. Lineage: Eukaryota; Metazoa; Chordata; Mammalia; Primates; Hominidae.
GCCGGGCUUGGUGGCACAUGCCUGUAAUCCCAGCUACUCGGGAGGCUGAGACAGAAGAAUUGCUUGAGUCCAGGAGACGGAGGUUGCAGUGAGCCGAGAUUGUGCCACUGCACUCCAGCCUGGCCAACAGAGCGAGACUCUGUCUCAA